This 465-nucleotide ribosomal RNA is filed under the name Vreelandella stevensii. RNAcentral's name for it is "partial 16S ribosomal RNA". It matches the Rfam family "Bacterial small subunit ribosomal RNA", at positions 338 to 795 of the family's 1533-position model. The record is from RNAcentral. Lineage: Bacteria; Pseudomonadati; Pseudomonadota; Gammaproteobacteria; Oceanospirillales; Halomonadaceae.
CCUACGGGGGGCAGCAGUGGGGAAUAUUGGACAAUGGGGGGAACCCUGAUCCAGCCAUGCCGCGUGUGUGAAGAAGGCCCUCGGGUUGUAAAGCACUUUCAGUGAGGAAGAACGCCUGGUGGUUAAUACCCAUCAGGAAAGACAUCACUCACAGAAGAAGCACCGGCUAACUCCGUGCCAGCAGCCGCGGUAAUACGGAGGGUGCGAGCGUUAAUCGGAAUUACUGGGCGUAAAGCGCGCGUAGGUGGCUUGAUAAGCCGGUUGUGAAAGCCCCGGGCUCAACCUGGGAACGGCAUCCGGAACUGUCAAGCUAGAGUGCAGGAGAGGAAGGUAGAAUUCCCGGUGUAGCGGUGAAAUGCGUAGAGAUCGGGAGGAAUACCAGUGGCGAAGGCGGCCUUCUGGACUGACACUGACACUGAGGUGCGAAAGCGUGGUUAGCAAACAGGAUUAGAUACCCCUGUAGUC